This 728-nucleotide ribosomal RNA is filed under the name uncultured bacterium. Its description in RNAcentral is "bacterial SSU rRNA". It matches the Rfam family "Bacterial small subunit ribosomal RNA", at positions 570 to 1296 of the family's 1533-position model. The record is from RNAcentral.
CGCAGGCGGUUUCGUCAGUCCGAUGUGACAGGCCACGGCUCAACCGUGGAAGGCCAUUGGAAACUGCGAGACUUGAGGACAGAAGAGGAGAGUGGAAUUCCACGUGUAGCGGUGAAAUGCGUAGAUAUGUGGAGGAACACCAGUGGCGAAGGCGACUCUCUGGUCUGUACCUGACGCUGAGGUGCGAAAGCAUGGGGAGCAAACAGGAUUAGAUACCCUGGUAGUCCAUGCCGUAAACGCUGAGUGCUAGGUGUUAGGGGUUUCGAUACCCGUAGUGCCGAAGCUAACGCAUUAAGCACUCCGCCUGGGGAGUACGACCGCAAGGUUGAAACUCAAAGGAAUUGACGGGGGCCCGCACAAGCGGUGGAGCAUGUGGUUUAAUUCGACGCAACGCGAAGAACCUUACCAGAUCUUGACAUCUUCCGCUACGCCUCGAGAGAGGCGGUUCCCCUUCGGGGGACUGAACGACAUGUGGUGCAUGGUUGUCGUCAGCUCGUGUCGUGAGAUGUUGGGUUAAGUCCCGCAACGAGCGCAACCCCUAAUCUUAGUUGCCAGCAUUCAGUUGGGCACUCUAAGGUGACUGCCGGUGACAAACCGGAGGAAGGUGGGGAUGACGUCAAAUCAUCAUGCCCCUUAUGAUCUGGGCUACACACGUGCUACAAUGGAUGGUACAACGGGAUGCGAACCCGCGAGGGGGAGCCAAUCCAGAAAAGCCAUUCUCAGUUCGG